CCCCUAGUUUAAGAUGUUAGGAUAAGUUUUAGGCUAAACCAUGAAAUUCUGGUAAUAAAGAAUUCUAUUGUACUAAAACCAUUAUCGCGAACGUACGUUUUCUUAACCGGCAUCUUUUAAAUUCGCUUAUACACAGGCGCGUUCUCAGUAAUUCGCGCAACCCAAUUAAUUUUUUCGUUCAGAAACAAAAUCAGUUUAACCCAUAUACUAAAUUUUUUACUUUUUUCUUUCUAUUUUUUAAUUACUAAAAUUUUCAAAUGAUUCUUACAUGAAUUUUGAACCAAUGCUUAUGAUUUGAAAUAUAAUUUUUGUAUUUAUUAGUUGUAUUGAACUUUAACAUAAAGAGAUAAAAAGUAUCCUUGUCCUUACCCUGCUUCUAAGCUACCUCCCCACCAAUUUUCAGCCAAAUCGGUCCCGCCGUUCCUGAGUUAUAAGUGGUGUAACUAAUAUGACUUUUUUUAUUUAUGUGCAUAAAGGACAGAAAAUAGCAAAAAAGAAAAAAACAACAAACACAUGCGAGAGCUGUAGCACAUGAAAAUUUUCAUUAGCUCUGCUCUACUACCGCUCCCUUUUUUUGCGACCGCUACAUCAAUUAUAUAAAUUUUGCUGCUAUAGAGUAGUAAAUGAAAACCCUGGUCAUAUGAUUCUUUGUUUACAAGCCAUUAAGUGUCGCCGUGUCACAGAGAUUAUACUGAAUAAGUGUAUUUUGAUUCAUAAAAUUUGGUUUUUCUUAUCAAACGACAAAACUUUUUGAACAACCUGGUAUAUGUGCUUAUGCUGCCUUAGUGUUUCUGCGUUUUGUUUGUUCUUUCCUUCUCUGUUCUGUUUGUUUGUUUGUAUAAUUCUUUUAGUGAUCGGUGUUUGUUUUAUUGUUUAGGUGUUUUUACUUUUCGCGCCCGAUUUAUAUUUUUUGUGUUCGUAAAAUUUGUAUAUUUUGUUUCUUGUAAGUUUUUGUUUUGUCACAGAGGUUUUAGUUAUUGCAUAUAUGUGUUUGUGUGUAUCGAAAAUUAAGUUUUCGAUGUAGUGGAACUUACUUGCCGACUUGAUAAAAUACAUUCCGUGGCUAACAGAUGGCGCUAAUUUCGAAAUCAUUCAAAAUCGAAAAUUUGUCGAGAUCUAUUCGUUGAUCAGUGAACUGCGUAAAUUGGCAAGAAUGGAGAAUUUAUAAAUUAUGUUUUAAAUGUGUAAUUUAUUUAUUAAAAACGCACCAACGGAAAUCAACCAACCAAUACAAAUCACUCAUAUCCCAUAUGUGAGAAUCAUGACUACUGGCGGGCUAUUUAGCACAAACGCAUCCUAUUUGCAUCUUGUGGUCAGACACACCACAUACAAAAAACAUAUAUGUAUACUAGAGGACCCGCCCAAGUUUUACUGUGGCUGUUACAUAGGUAGUACUACUAAUACCAUCUAUAUGAUUUCUAUUAGUUAGAUUAUAAAUAUUAUUUAAGGAAUAAUCGCAUUUUUGGUGAAGCAACUUGUGUUAGUUUACAAAAAAAGAAUCAUAAAGAAUUUCGUGCGUUAAGAAAGAAUUGGUUUUUGGGGUAAAAAUACUAUUGAAUUUGGGCUGUGCAUCAGUGAAAUCAAUCGAGUCCAAUCGAUUGUCAGCCUAGUGAACUGCAUAUUAAGAAACGGUUCUCAAGCGUGAAAAGAGAAAAAAAUCGGCUGGCAAGGUUAUGGCAUCAGUCUUUUGGGAUGCCCGUGAUAUAUUAUGUAUUCAUGGUUCCCGUUUAAAUAUUGCAUUGCUCUGUGCAAUGCUUCGAAAAGAUUUCUGUAUAUCUCAUAUUUUAAUAGACCUUUUUAUCAACACUUCAGUUAUGCCACUAUUUUUUAUGCCAGACCUUUUGCAAUUGUAAAUUGCCUGUCAAGAUACAGAAAAUUUAUAUAUAUAAAGAUAUACAUAGAAUAGGUCGACUUCCUAAACGCAGGUUGCAAUGCAUAUUUACAAUGCAUAUAGUUCCUAAAGUCAUACUUGAAUUUUCUGGCAACGCCUAAUGUUUCUAAUUAGUUGGCAACUCAGUUUUAAACGCAUCAGAUGUUUAAAGCGUGCAUCAAUUUUAUUUGGUAUGCAGAACAGACAAUGGCAGAAGAAAAAAAAGUGGACACACGAGCGGAAGAAAUUAUUAAUAACAACAAGGCUUCGCCAUGAAGCAGAAUUUUCCGGCAAAAAAAGAAAGAGAAAUACAAUUUGGGAGUCGAUUUUAAGGGAAAUGAGGGACGUUGAGAGCUCGUUUCCAUUUUCAAGAGAUGAAAUAACGAGGUGUUUUCUCAACAUAAUGGGGACUUAUAAGCGUAUAAAGAAGAGAAACAGUACUUCUGGCGAAGCAGCAUCAAAUUGGGAAUAUUUUAGCGAAAUCGAUGAAGUGUUUGGGAGUCGUUCUAGUAUUGAAGUCCCACUAGAAAUGACCGAGUAUUCUAUAAUUUCAUUGGAAAGUCCUUCCACCACAGCAACAAUUGACGGAAUGGAUGUAACACCUACAACAUCAGUUAAAAGAAAGAGAUUUGACGUAAUCGAAUUCUUAGAGAAAGAAUCCGAAAAGGAAAACGAAGCUAUAAAUAAGCUUAUAAAAAUAGAAAGUGAAAGACUUGAAGUUGAAAAAGAAAAACUUACAGAAUUAAAGCAACUACGGGCUUUAUUUGAAAACCCAGGAUAGUUUAUAAAUAAUAUAAAUAAUUACUAUUAUAUAAUUAUAAGAAAUAUAUAUAUAUAUAUAUAUAUGUUAUAGUUUUGAAAGUUCCUAUCUUAUGAAAUAAAAUACAUUUAUGUUCAUGUUA
Bactrocera dorsalis (oriental fruit fly) is the source of this 2772-nucleotide long non-coding RNA. RefSeq lists it as uncharacterized. The transcript has 2 exons. The record is from RefSeq and is a predicted model, not a curated record. NCBI's taxonomy places the organism in Eukaryota, Metazoa, Arthropoda, Insecta, Diptera, Tephritidae.